CAGCAGCCACGGGAAUACGAAGGGUGCAAGCGUUAAUCGGAAUUACUGGGCGUAAAGCGUGCGUAGGCGGUGAGUUAAGUCUGCUGUGAAAUCCCCGGGCUCAACCUGGGAACUGCAUUUGUGACUGUAUAGCUAGAGUACGGCAGAGGGGGAUGGAAUUCCGCGUGUAGCAGUGAAAUGCGUAGAUAUGCGGAGGAACACCGAUGGCGAAGGCAAUCCCCUGGGCCUGUACUGACGCUCAUGCACGAAAGCGUGGGGAGCAAACAGGAUUAGAGACCCCCGUAGUCCCUGUCUCUUAUAC
RNAcentral lists this ribosomal RNA (301 nucleotides) under uncultured bacterium. Its description in RNAcentral is "partial 16S ribosomal RNA". It matches the Rfam family "Bacterial small subunit ribosomal RNA", at positions 509 to 807 of the family's 1533-position model. The record is from RNAcentral.